This 449-nucleotide ribosomal RNA is filed under the name uncultured bacterium. RNAcentral describes it as "bacterial SSU rRNA". It matches the Rfam family "Bacterial small subunit ribosomal RNA", at positions 328 to 794 of the family's 1533-position model. The record is from RNAcentral.
UAGCCAGACUCCUACGGGAGGCAGCAGUGGGGAAUAUUGCACAAUGGGGGAAACCCUGAUGCAGCGACGCCGCGUGAGCGAUGAAGUCUUUCGGUCUGUAAACUUCUAUCAGCAGGGAAGAGAAUGACGGUACCUGACUAAGAAGCCCCGGCUAACUACGUGCCAGCAGCCGCGGUAAUACGUAGGGGGCAAGCGUUAUCCGGAUUUACUGGGUGUAAAGGGAGCGUAGACGGCAAGGCAAGUCUGGAGUGAAAGCCCGUGGCCCAACCACGGGACUGCUUUGGAAACUGUGUUGCUGGAGUGCAGGAGGGGUAAGCGGAAUUCCUAGUGUAGCGGUGAAAUGCGUAGAUAUUAGGAGGAACACCGGUGGCGAAGGCGGCUUACUGGACUGUAACUGACGUUGAGGCUCGAAGGCGUGGGGAGCAAACAGGAUUAGAUACCCCCGUACA